This 433-nucleotide ribosomal RNA is filed under the name uncultured bacterium. Its description in RNAcentral is "partial 16S ribosomal RNA". It matches the Rfam family "Bacterial small subunit ribosomal RNA", at positions 29 to 507 of the family's 1533-position model. The record is from RNAcentral.
AACGAACGCUGGCGGCAUGCCUAACACAUGCAAGUCGAACGAGACCUUCGGGUCUAGUGGCGCACGGGUGCGUAACGCUUGGGAACCUGCCCUUAGGUUCGGAAUAACUCCCCGAAAGGGGUGCUAAUACCGGAUAAUUUCUUCGGACCAAAGAUUUAUCGCCUUUGGAUGGGCCCGCGUUGGAUUAGCUAGUUGGUAGGGUAAAAGCCUACCAAGGCGACGAUCCAUAGCUGGUCUGAGAGGAUGAUCAGCCACACUGGGACUGAGACACGGCCCAGACUCCUACGGGAGGCAGCAGUGGGGAAUAUAGGACAGUGGGCGAAAGCCUGAUCCAGCAAUGCCGCGAGAGUGAUGAAGGCCUUAGGGUUGUAAAGCUCUUUUACCCGGGAUGAUAAUGACAGUACCGGGAGAAUAAGCACCGGCUAACUCCGUG